This 349-nucleotide ribosomal RNA is filed under the name uncultured bacterium. RNAcentral's name for it is "bacterial SSU rRNA". It matches the Rfam family "Bacterial small subunit ribosomal RNA", at positions 8 to 350 of the family's 1533-position model. The record is from RNAcentral.
AGAGUUUGAUCCUGGCUCAGGAUGAACGCUAGCGACAGGCUUAACACAUGCAAGUCGAGGGGCAGCACAGGGUAGCAAUACUUGGGUGGCGACCGGCGCACGGGUGAGUAACGCGUAUGCAACUUACCUAUCAGAGGGGGAUAGCCCGGCGAAAGUCGGAUUAAUACCCCAUGAAACAGGGGUCCCGCAUGGGAAUAUUUGUUAAAGAUUCAUCGCUGAUAGAUAGGCAUGCGUUCCAUUAGGCAGUUGGCGGGGUAACGGCCCACCAAACCGACGAUGGAUAGGGGGUUCUGAGAGGAAGGUCCCCCACAUUGGUACUGAGACACGGACCAAACUCCUACGGGAGGCA